UUUAAAAUUUUUGCUUUCAGCAAUUUUCCAUUUUUUUCAACAUACUUAUAUCGCAAUGAGGCAACCAAAUAUGAAUCCUGAGAAUGAAGAUGGAAAAUGAAUAUUUUAAUCCAAUAUCGAGUUGUUCUUUCAACAUUUUUAGUUUUAGUUUUAAUCGAAAAUAUAAAGUUACAUAAUUGUGUGAGGAAUAAUUUUUGCAGAGAAAUUUUUAAAAAUUCACAAAAGGAAAAAGAAACCUUUACCAUGAGUCUAUAACAUUGAAAGACUGUGUUUAAGUUAUUUUAAUAAAGCCAAACCAACACUUUCAGCAGGAACUAAAUGGCAGCAUCUGAUUUCACGCUGAUACAUAUGUAUUAGUGUGGUGCUCACUUUUACCCUUCAUUUUACCUUGGGUCUUGCCAUUUUCUUUCUUUUUAUUUUUAUGUUUUUUUGUGUUUUGUUUUCUUUUGGAAGAGGUAAUUUUUAGGGAGAAAAAAAACACUUUUUCCUCAUAGGUCGAUUUAAAAUGUUGGCCUUACCUUAAUCUCCUCUCUCAAACUCAAUCCACUAUGUAAUGGGUCAACAUACUUUUCUGUGAAGGAGCAGAUAGUAAAUAUUUUAGUCUUUGCAGGCCAUAUGGUCUCUGUUGCCAGCUCUUCCAUUGUGGUGUGAAAGCAGCCAUAGACAACACAGAAAUGAAUAAGUGUAACUGUUCCAAUAAAAACAGAUGAUAUGUUGAAUUUAGCUCACAGAGUUUAGCUUGCUGCCCCUGCAGGAGGCCUUUGGAGUAAAAGCUUCCUGAGAGGAGGACUUUUUGUCUUUUUUGCUCAAGUUCUAGCUCCAGUACCUAAAAUAGUGCCUGUCAACGUAGGUAUUGAUGAAUAUUGGAACCUGUUGAACAUACACCUAAAAUAAAACAUUUGGCAAGAUACAGUACUACACAAUUUGGAGAACACUUGGCUCCCAUAGAAAUCAAAGCCUUCCUGAGUAAUUAAUUAUUUGGCCUGAUGAUGAAUUACUGUGCCUGAGAUGAUAGAGCUAAUUUAUUUUUCAAUUCACUCAGGGGACACACGUUAUUUUCACUGUGAAUUUGGUUAAAAUGAAAAGAUUUCCUGCUCUAAGUCCUGGAUAGACCUUUAUGUAAUAGCAUACUCUUCACUCUUUUUGAAUCGCAUGCAGUUGUCAGACUGGAUGAUUUCCAGACAGAGGUUCCAAGUCUUUCAUCAUGUUUGGGUUAAAGACCUCAUUAACAUACUAGUCCUGCCAUUUGAGUCUGUUCUCUUCACGGAAUAUUUUCACCUGAAUCACCAUAACAUCCUAUGGCCCUGAAAAUAGUUCUGCCAAGCUGCGUGCAGUGGACACUUCACGGCUGGCACAGGAGAGAUCACAAGGCCUUGCUCAAUUUCAUCAAAAGUGUUAAAGCGACUCAGCAGAUUGUGAAGCACAAGUGGAAGCUGAUAAUUGGUGUUUCUUACAAAUCAACGGCUUGUCUCCACACAUCAAGGUGAGAAAAUCAAUGUAAAAGAGGAGAAAUAACCCACACAACCACAUACAACUAGGAAAUGAUAGAUGGAUCUGAAAAAAAGGAUAUGCACUCUUAACAAGUUCAACACCCAAGUACUAUUGCAAGUACCAGCUGUAUUUCAUGGAAAAAAAAAAAAGAAUAACUCAAAAGG
Molecule: long non-coding RNA, 1655 nt
Filed under: Homo sapiens (human)
Lineage: Eukaryota; Metazoa; Chordata; Mammalia; Primates; Hominidae
Description: HSALNT0327168
Source: RNAcentral